UCUCUUUCUCUUCAUCCUGCUCUCUUCUCUACAGAGCUGUCAUUUGAUCCCAGGAAGAGGACACCAGCGGAAGGCAUCCUUGAUAAGAAAGGCUGACAGAAGAUUAAGAAAUGAGCAAUUGUCAUGUUGGGAUAAGUGGACACUACUGAUGCCAGAAGACUGCUCUCUCUCAAGCAGCUCAAAACCAGCCUGGAGGUAGAGUCAGUGGACCAGAUCAGUGGCCAGCAAUCCUGUCCGAAGAUUUAUAAGGACCUUUGAUGUAUUUCUUCAACAACUGGAAUCACUGUUGCCAAAUAAAGGGUCAGUUAAUCGGAUAAUUCUAAUUCUGUAUUUUGAUCAAGAUCUUGCUUUCCACUGACUUAGUUAGGUCCGUUGAGCUUUGGAGCCACACGCACCCCUUUUGUUGUUAAAUCCCAGAGCUCCUGUUCCCAAGACUGCACCUUUGCAUUUUGAGCACACACUGACUCAGAGACAACUAGGCACGCAUCCCCUCCGGGGUCCUCAUGGGGGAGCUGUCAUCUUCCAACCACAUAACCAUAGCAUGCCAUUGCAGUGGCAACCCCGCAGGCGGGCCCCCCUCUAAAGGCCGCCCAGCCCCCGCGACGCCCCGGCUCAGCUGCAGGCAGCGACACUCCGGAGCCGGCUGCCGGGUUGGGUCUCCUGCUCUCGGCGGGGGAGCAGGAGCGCGCCCGCCCACGCCCACGCCCACGGCCCCCACACUCGUGAGCGCACACCCCGGCGCGCGCACGCCCGCACACCAGGGCGCACGCACAGCACACCGGGGCCACAGACGGGCUCUGAGCGGCUGCGAGUGGGGACGCAGCCGGAUUCCC
RNAcentral lists this long non-coding RNA (833 nucleotides) under Cricetulus griseus (Chinese hamster). RNAcentral's name for it is "lncRNA (ENSCGRG00015030208.1)". Lineage: Eukaryota; Metazoa; Chordata; Mammalia; Rodentia; Cricetidae. The record is from RNAcentral.